This 215-nucleotide unclassified non-coding RNA is filed under the name Hevea brasiliensis (rubber tree). Lineage: Eukaryota; Viridiplantae; Streptophyta; Magnoliopsida; Malpighiales; Euphorbiaceae. The record is from RNAcentral.
GUUUGGCCUUCCCCUCUAAAGACAGUGUUUAUCAUUCUACAAAACAUUCUGACUGUUCUUACUUGACAUUGAUGGAAACCCAUGAACUGGAAAUUAAUGUGUGUAAACACUAUCUUAAAUGCCGUGUCAUAGUUCUUCAUUGAAUAUGAGAUUAUUUACUCCAUAAGGUGUAUUAAUCAAGGAAAUCUCCUUUUGAAUUUGAAAACCCAAUCCAG